RNAcentral lists this ribosomal RNA (279 nucleotides) under uncultured prokaryote. RNAcentral's name for it is "partial 16S ribosomal RNA". It matches the Rfam family "Bacterial small subunit ribosomal RNA", at positions 524 to 801 of the family's 1533-position model. The record is from RNAcentral.
UACGUAGGUGGCGAGCGUUAUCCGGAUUCAUUUGGGCGUAAAGCGCGCGUAGGCGGCCUGCUAGGUCGGGACUCAAAUCCGGGGGCUCAACCCCCGCCCGGUCCCGAUACCGACAGGCUUGAGUCUGGUAGGGGAAGGCGGAAUUCCAAGUGUAGCGGUGGAAUGCGCAGAGAUCAGGAGGAAUACCGAAGGCGAAGGCAGUCUUCCAAGCCGUUAUUGAACGCUCAACUGCGAAGGUGUGGGUAUCAAACAGGAUUAGAUACCCUGGUAGUCCCUGAG